UAAUUAACUGGAGAUGGGGUUCUCCGUAAAGCGUCCCGCUUAAAAUUGGGGCUGAUGACUCCUACUUAAAC
Molecule: non-coding RNA, 71 nt
Filed under: Elusimicrobiota bacterium
Lineage: Bacteria; Pseudomonadati; Elusimicrobiota
Description: Elusimicrobia bacterium Fluoride sequence
Rfam family: Fluoride riboswitch aptamer (crcB RNA motif)
Source: RNAcentral